This is a long non-coding RNA of Carassius gibelio (silver crucian carp), 318 nucleotides long. RefSeq lists it as uncharacterized. The record is from RefSeq and is a predicted model, not a curated record. Lineage: Eukaryota; Metazoa; Chordata; Actinopteri; Cypriniformes; Cyprinidae. The transcript has 3 exons.
AAAUGGAAUGUUGAAAAUCAAUGAAGUGAACAAGAUGAGUGAACUCCACCCUAACCUGGAUUUAGGAAGAAAUGAUGAUUACUUUCUUUUAAAGGAAACGAACAUCACUAUGUUCCAGGAUCCUAAGCGCAGGAAGGAGGGCAUGAAGCUGUUGGGAAGAUGAAGAUGGCAAAUUCAUGGGGGAAAGUGACCAGAUCAGCAAAACAUCCCGCCGCACCAGCACCAAAAAACUUGACCGCAGCAGUUGGUGGCAGGUCGCUAGGUUUGAUUCCAACCAUUUUUUUCUGUACUUCUGACAGGAUCUUACUUUAUUUUUAU